This 388-nucleotide ribosomal RNA is filed under the name Pseudomonas aeruginosa. RNAcentral describes it as "partial 23S ribosomal RNA". It matches the Rfam family "Bacterial large subunit ribosomal RNA", at positions 1 to 428 of the family's 2925-position model. The record is from RNAcentral. Lineage: Bacteria; Pseudomonadati; Pseudomonadota; Gammaproteobacteria; Pseudomonadales; Pseudomonadaceae.
GGUUAAGCGACUAAGCGUACACGGUGGAUGCCCUGGCAGUCAGAGGCGAUGAAGGACGUGCUAAUCUGCGAAAAGCGUCGGUAAGGUGAUAUGAACCGUUAUAACCGGCGAUGUCCGAAUGGGGAAACCCAGUGCAAUUCGUUGCACUAUCGUUAACUGAAUACAUAGGUUAACGAGGCGAACCGGGGGAACUGAAACAUCUAAGUACCCCGAGGAAAAGAAAUCAACCGAGAUUCCCCCAGUAGCGGCGAGCGAACGGGGAGCAGCCCAGAGUCUGAAUCAGCUUGUGUGUUAGUGGAACGGUCUGGAAAGUCCGACGGUACAGGGUGAUAGUCCCGUACACCAAAAUGCACAGGCUGUGAACUCGAAGAGUAGGGCGGGACACGUG